AUUUUUUGAUAAUUGUUCUUUUGCUGUAAAAAGUCAAGAGCAUUCACUUAGGGUGAGUAAGAAAUAAGUUGGGGAGAACGAAAAAGAGAAUCGGUAAGUGCCACAACUCUUGAAAAACCGAGCAAGCAUUGAAAAUAAAAAAAAAUAGAAAAGAGAAACAUCUGUUUUGUAAAUAUGAUGUGAAAGAAAAGAAAAAAUAGAGAAAAUGAAAAUGAAUGCUUGCUUGGAAGAAAAAUAGUGAAAAACAAAAAUUG
RNAcentral lists this long non-coding RNA (254 nucleotides) under Lathyrus oleraceus (garden pea). RNAcentral's name for it is "Pisum sativum (pea) long non-coding RNA (PSAT_LNC033950)". The record is from RNAcentral. Lineage: Eukaryota; Viridiplantae; Streptophyta; Magnoliopsida; Fabales; Fabaceae.